RNAcentral lists this ribosomal RNA (440 nucleotides) under uncultured bacterium. RNAcentral describes it as "partial 16S ribosomal RNA". It matches the Rfam family "Bacterial small subunit ribosomal RNA", at positions 338 to 795 of the family's 1533-position model. The record is from RNAcentral.
CCUACGGGGGGCAGCAGUGGGGAAUCUUGCACAAUGGGGGAAACCCUGAUGCAGCGACGCCGCGUGAAGGAAGAAGUAUUUCGGUAUGUAAACUUCUAUCAGCAGGGAAGAAAAUGACGGUGCCUGACUAAGAACCCCCUGCUAACUACGUGCCAGCAGCCGCGGUAAUACUUAGGGGGCAAGCGUUAUCCGGAUUUACUGGGUGUAACGGGAGCGUAGGCGGUGCAGCAAGUCAGAAGUGAAAGCCCGGGGCUCAACCCCGGGACUGCUUUUGAAACUGUUGAACUGGAUUGCAGGAGAGGUAAGUGGAAUUCCUAGUGUAGCGGUGAAAUGCGUAGAUAUUAGGAGGAACACCAGUGGCGAAGGCGGCUUACUGGACUGUAAAUGACGCUGAGGCUCGAAAGCGUGGGGAGCAAACAGGAUUAGAUACCCUAGUAGUC